RNAcentral lists this ribosomal RNA (253 nucleotides) under uncultured bacterium. RNAcentral describes it as "partial 16S ribosomal RNA". It matches the Rfam family "Bacterial small subunit ribosomal RNA", at positions 524 to 776 of the family's 1533-position model. The record is from RNAcentral.
UACGAAGGGUGCAAGCGUUAAUCGGAAUUACUGGGCGUAAAGCGUGCGCAGGCGGCUCUUUAAGUCAGAUGUGAAAGCCCCGGGCUUAACCUGGGAAUUGCGUUUGAAACUGGAGAGCUGGAGUGUGGAAGAGGGGGGUGGAAUUCCAGGUGUAGCAGUGAAAUGCGUAGAGAUCUGGAGGAACACCGAUGGCGAAGGCAGCCGCCUGGGCUAACACUGACGCUCAGGCACGAAAGCGUGGGGAGCAAACAGG